Suricata suricatta (meerkat) is the source of this 375-nucleotide long non-coding RNA. RefSeq lists it as uncharacterized. Lineage: Eukaryota; Metazoa; Chordata; Mammalia; Carnivora; Herpestidae. The record is from RefSeq and is a predicted model, not a curated record. The transcript has 2 exons.
UGGCGGGGCGCUCCUGGGGAAAGCGGUUCGGCCCCGCCAGACACGGGGUCUCGCCACGAAACCUUGGAGUGGUCGGGGACUCUCUCCCGGGUGGCAGGACAGCACGCCCCAGACGAGCAGCCGGAAGCACUGCCGCCGGAUGGGGACCUGGAGGACGACCGGCUACGGAGGAGGACCGGAGACGGAGGAGGACCAGCAAAAGCACCGCCAGUCUGACUGGCUGAGCCACGGGAGUGAACUUAAUGGCAUUUUAAAUUGGAGCAGAGCCCCGAGAGAGGAGGAGAGACCACUGUGCACCUUAUUGGAUCACAAAUCUUACAUCUGAUUUUUUAAUUCCAAAAAUGACCUAAUAAACUGGCUUUAUAAUUAAAUCUA